RNAcentral lists this ribosomal RNA (446 nucleotides) under uncultured bacterium. RNAcentral's name for it is "partial 16S ribosomal RNA". It matches the Rfam family "Bacterial small subunit ribosomal RNA", at positions 338 to 795 of the family's 1533-position model. The record is from RNAcentral.
CCUACGGGCGGCAGCAGUCGAGAAUCAUUCACAAUGGGGGAAACCCUGAUGGUGCGACGCCGCGUGGGGGAAUGAAGGUCUUCGGAUUGUAAACCCCUGUCAUGUGGGAGCAAAUUAAAAAGAUAGUACCACAAGAGGAAGAGACGGCUAACUCUGUGCCAGCAGCCGCGGUAAUACAGAGGUCUCAAGCGUUGUUCGGAAUCACUGGGCGGAAAGCGUGCGGAGGCUGUUUCGUAAGUCGUGUGUGAAAGGCGCGGGCUCAACCUGCGGACGGCACAUGAUACUGGGAGACUAGAGUAAUGGAGGGGGAACCGGAAUUCGCGGUGUAGCAGUGAAAUGCGUAGAUAUCGAGCGGAACACUCGUGGCGAAGGCGGGUUCCUGGACAUUAACUGACGCUGAGGCACGAAGGCCAGGGGAGCGAAAGGGAUGAGAUACCCCAGUAGUC